AAAAACGGAGGAAAAGAAACUAACAAGGAUUCCCCUAGUAACGGCGAGUGAAGCGGGAAGAGCUCAAAUUUGAAAUCUGGUAGCCUUCGGUUGCCCGAGUUGUAAUCUAGAGAAAUGUUUUCCGUGCCGGCCCAUGUACAAGUCCCUUGGAACAGGGCGUCAUAGAGGGUGAGAAUCCCGUCCUUGACAUGGACCCCCGGUGCUUUGUGAUACAUUUUCAACGAGUCGAGUUGUUUGGGAAUGCAGCUCAAAAUGGGUGGUGAAUUCCAUCUAAAGCUAAAUAUUGGCGAGAGACCGAUAGCGAACAAGUACCGUGAGGGAAAGAUGAAAAGCACUUUGGAAAGAGAGUUAAACAGUACGUGAAAUUGUUGAAAGGGAAACGAUUGAAGUCAGUCAUGCUCUUUGGUAUUUAUAUCAUUGAGUGGGGUCAACAUCAGUUUUGAUCGAUGGAUAAAGGCACUAGGAAUGUAGCACUCUCGGGUGAACUUAUAGCCUAGCGUCAUAUACAUUGAUUGGGACUGAGGAACGCAGCAUGCCUUUAUGGCCGGGAUUCGUCCACGUACAUGCUUAGGAUGUUGACAUAAUGGCUUUAAACGACCCGUCUUGAA
Molecule: ribosomal RNA, 608 nt
Filed under: Naganishia albidosimilis
Lineage: Eukaryota; Fungi; Basidiomycota; Tremellomycetes; Filobasidiales; Filobasidiaceae
Description: partial large subunit ribosomal RNA
Rfam family: Eukaryotic large subunit ribosomal RNA
Source: RNAcentral